Molecule: ribosomal RNA, 622 nt
Filed under: Debaryomycetaceae sp.
Lineage: Eukaryota; Fungi; Ascomycota; Pichiomycetes; Serinales; Debaryomycetaceae
Description: partial large subunit ribosomal RNA
Rfam family: Eukaryotic large subunit ribosomal RNA
Source: RNAcentral
AGUCAACAUACGGGGAAAAGAACUUUCUUUUUCCUUAUACUGAGGAGGAAGAGCCAACCACCGGCAGCUUUAGUAUCGGCGCGAGUGAGCGGCAAAAGCUCAAAUUUGAAAUCUGGCGCCUUCGGUGUCCGAGUUGUAAUUUGAAGAAGGUAACUUUGGGGUUGGCUCUUGUCUAUGUUCCUUGGAACAGGACUUCACAGAGGGUGAGAAUCCCGUGCGAUGAGAUGCCCAAUUCUAUGUAAAGUGCCUUCGAAGAGUCGAGUUGUUUGGGAAUGCAGCUCUAAGUGGGUGGUAAAUUCCAUCUAAAGCUAAAUAUUGGCGAGAGACCGAUAGCGAACAAGUACAGUGAUGGAAAGAUGAAAAGAACUUUGAAAAGAGAGUGAAAAAGUACGUGAAAUUGUUGAAAGGGAAGGGUUUGAGAUCAGACUUGGUAUUUUGUGAGCCUUGCUUUCUCGGGGGGGUGCCUCCCUUUUCUGUGCGCCCAACUCGUUUUGGGGGGGGGAAAAAAAACUGGGGAGUGUGACUCUCCUUCGGGGGAGUGUUAUACCCUGCGUAGAUGCUGCCUGCCUACCCAGAAGACUGCCAUUUUAUCCAGGAUGCUGGGUAUAUUGAUCCCAACGCC